AGAGUUUGAUCCUGGCUCAGAUUGAACGCUGGCGGCAUGCCUAACACAUGCAAGUCGAACGGAAACGAUGGAAGCUUGCUUCCAGGCGUCGAGUGGCGGACGGGUGAGUAAUACUUAGGAAUCUGCCAGUAGUGGGGGACAACUCGGGGAAACUCGAGCUAAUACCGCAUACGCCCUACGGGGGAAAGCGGAGGAUCUUUCGGGACUUCGCGCUAUUGGAUGAGCCUAAGUCGGAUUAGCUUGUUGGUGAGGUAAAAGCUCACCAAGGCGACGAUCCGUAGCUGGUCUGAGAGGACGAUCAGCCACACUGGGACUGAGACACGGCCCAGACUCCUAUGGGAGGCAGCAGUGGGGAAUAUUGGACAAUGGGGGCAACCCUGAUCCAGCAAUGCCGCGUGUGUGAAGAAGGCCUGCGGGUUGUAAAGCACUUUCAGUAGAGAAGAAAAGUUCAGGGUUAAUACCCCUGAAUCUUGACGUUACCUACAGAAGAAGCUCCGGCUAACUCCGUGCCAGCAGCCGCGGUAAUACGGAGGGAGCGAGCGUUAAUCGGAAUUACUGGGCGUAAAGCGCGCGUAGGCGGCUUCGUAAGUCGGAUGUGAAAGCCCCGGGCUCAACCUGGGAAUGGCAUUCGAUACUGCAGAGCUAGAGUAUGGUAGAGGGAAGUGGAAUUUCCGGUGUAGCGGUGAAAUGCGUAGAUAUCGGAAGGAACACCAGUGGCGAAGGCGACUUCCUGGGCCAAUACUGACGCUAAGGUGCGAAAGCGUGGGGAGCAAACAGGAUUAGAUACCCUGGUAGUCCACGCCGUAAACGAUGAGAACUAGAUGUCGGAGGAAAUUGUCCUUC
Molecule: ribosomal RNA, 843 nt
Filed under: uncultured deep-sea bacterium
Lineage: Bacteria
Description: bacterial SSU rRNA
Rfam family: Bacterial small subunit ribosomal RNA
Source: RNAcentral